Molecule: small RNA, 160 nt
Filed under: Pongo abelii (Sumatran orangutan)
Lineage: Eukaryota; Metazoa; Chordata; Mammalia; Primates; Hominidae
Description: processed transcript
Source: RNAcentral
GAGCCGAGCUGGGCGGAAGAAGGCGAGGCGGGAGCCAGGCCCGGCCCAGACCGCCGCGGCGCCGACCGUGACAAACACUCAUCGUUGGGUGGGGCUCUAGUGCAGUCCGUUGGUGCCAAUAUUUUAUAAGCGACGUUUUCAAACUAUGUGAAGAUCCUUU